AGCAGCGUAUAUCAAAGUUUGUUACAGUUAAAAGCUUGUAGUUCACUGUCUAUACUGGUGCUUCUGAAUAACCUUGAAAAAUUAGAGUGCUCAAAACAGGUUAGUGCUUGAAUACAUUAGCAUGGAAUAAUAAAAUGGGACGGUGUGGUUCUAUUUUGUUGGUUUCUAGGAUCACCGUAAUGAUUAAUAGGGAUAGUUGGGGCAUUAUUAUUCAAUUGUCAGAGGAUUUAACUUUUGCGAAAAAGGAUGUUUUCAUUAAUCAGGAACGAAAAUUAGGGAUCGAAGACGAUCAGAUACUGUCGUAGUCUUAACCAUAAACUAUACCGACUAAGGAUCGGACGAUGUUGAUUUUUUAAUGGCUCGUUCGGCGCCUUACGGGAAACCAAAGUGUUUGGGUUCA
This 400-nucleotide ribosomal RNA is filed under the name uncultured Glomeromycotina. Its description in RNAcentral is "bacterial SSU rRNA". It matches the Rfam family "Eukaryotic small subunit ribosomal RNA", at positions 593 to 1115 of the family's 1831-position model. The record is from RNAcentral. Lineage: Eukaryota; Fungi; Glomeromycota.